GACGAACGCUGGCGGCGUGCCUAAUACAUGCAAGUAGAACGAGUUGCGAACGGGUGAGUAACGCGUGGUAACCUGCCUCAUAGCGGGGGAUAACUAUUGGAAACGGUAGCUAAUACCGCAUACCAUCAGAUGUGCCCAGAUGGGGUUAGCUAGUUGGUGGGGUAACGGCUCACCAAGGCGACGAUCCCGAGCUGGUCUGAGAGGAUGACCAGCCACACUGGAACUGAGACACGGUCCAGACUCCUACGUGUGGCAGCAGUGGGAAAUAUUGAACAAUGGGCGCAAGCCGGAUGCAGCCAUGCCGCGUGUAUGAAGAAGGCCUUCGGGUUGUAAAGUACUUUCAGCGGGGAGGCGUUACCCGCAGAAGAAGCACCGGCUAAUUCCGUGCCAGCAGCCGCGGGAAUAC
This 406-nucleotide ribosomal RNA is filed under the name uncultured bacterium. RNAcentral describes it as "partial 16S ribosomal RNA". It matches the Rfam family "Bacterial small subunit ribosomal RNA", at positions 28 to 526 of the family's 1533-position model. The record is from RNAcentral.